UUCCUUGAACCGCAUGGUUCAAGGAUGAAAGACGGUUUCGGCUGUCACUUACAGAUGGACCCGCGGCGCAUUAGCUAGUUGGUGGGGUAAUGGCUCACCAAGGCGACGAUGCGUAGCCGACCUGAGAGGGUGAUCGGCCACACUGGGACUGAGACACGGCCCAGACUCCUACGGGAGGCAGCAGUAGGGAAUCUUCCGCAAUGGACGAAAGUCUGACGGAGCAACGCCGCGUGAGUGAUGAAGGUUUUCGGAUCGUAAAGCUCUGUUGUUAGGGAAGAACAAGUGCGAGAGUAACUGCUCGCACCUUGACGGUACCUAACCAGAAAGCCACGGCUAACUACGUGCCAGCAGCCGCGGUAAUACGUAGGUGGCAAGCGUUGUCCGGAAUUAUUGGGCGUAAAGGGCUCGCAGGCGGUUUCUUAAGUCUGAUGUGAAAGCCCCCGGCUCAACCGGGGAGGGUCAUUGGAAACUGGGAAACUUGAGUGCAGAAGAGGAGAGUGGAAUUCCACGUGUAGCGGUGAAAUGCGUAGAGAUGUGGAGGAACACCAGUGGCGAACGCGACUCUCUGGUCUGUAACUGACGCU
Molecule: ribosomal RNA, 584 nt
Filed under: Bacillus pumilus
Lineage: Bacteria; Bacillati; Bacillota; Bacilli; Caryophanales; Bacillaceae
Also listed under: 1 other name
Description: bacterial SSU rRNA
Rfam family: Bacterial small subunit ribosomal RNA
Source: RNAcentral